UGUAACACAAUACGAUUACUAUUUACUUAAUAGGAACCUAACUCUAAGACAUAAAAGGAAAAAGACACAUUCAGAACAAUACUAGACAGAUUCAUUAAUCAACAAUGUUAGAAAGUUAAAAAGAAUGAAACAGAUGCCUAAAAUAUCAUUUCUACUUAUUCAAUGACCAAAUCAAAUGCUGGAAUCAUAAAGGAACCAUAAACGAACAUAAAGCAACUCAGAAUUUAAAACUGAAAUGUAAAAUCAACGAUAUAGCAAGGAAAGUAAAAUCAAGUACAAAAAUUAACCGAACAAGCUCAAAUAAAAAGUGAAUCGAAACUGAAAAAGUACUUUAUUGGAAACUAAAUUCAGAAUUACAAAUACCAGAGUUUCUCAGAUAACCAAUGUCUAUCACCCAAUGGAAAAUCCAAGAACCCCAUUCCAAGAAGCAAAGUAUCUACUCCUACGAAAGCUGUAAAGAAAUCUACACUAAAGCAUGGAACCGAGAAUCUAUAGUGGUGUCUGUCACCCACCACCUGUACAUUGUUCAUUACAAAGACUUCCUUUUAUAGGAAAAACAAAAACAGAAAAAGAAAAGAAAAUGGGAAAGGGGGAAGAAUCUAGAAACAAACACUGAAGCUUCUGGAGUAUCCUUCAACUAACUCUGACCAAGUUCUCCAAUCGUCAAUCCAGCUCAGCAUAGCUUAUCGGACCGAUCAACAUCUUAUUCCAAUCAGCUUCUGGACUGGCUUCCUUUUGGGCCGAUCAUCCUCCUGGCAAAUGGCGCAUGGUCCAGCUUCUCUUCAUCUCUCUCGCUCUUGUCAAGCCCUAGGUUGAAGAUUGAAGAAAUUUGGGAAUGAAGCCCUCUUCAUGAACCUUUUUCCUUCAAUUAGAGCUUCUAAUCACAGCAACACAAAACGGUGUCGUUCUACUUAAUUGGAAUCAGCCCAAAGGCCCAUAAAUCUUCAUUCCAUUCACUCACAGCAGCCUCGUGGGCUUGUGGAAACUACUGCACCCAGCCAUCAUCACAAUGGUGCAAAUUUGCUCUCUAAUUAGUGCUGGCCCAUUAAUGACCUUGCCCAGUAUAUUUUCAGCAUCAGCCCAUAUUUUUUUUAUUCCUGCAACAUCAUAAAAGAAUAAACUGGUAAAAAAAAUAUGAAAAAUAAAGCCUAAGAAAAAUUAAAUUUUAUUUUUAAUUUUUUGAAUGUUUUUCUACAAGAGAAAACACCUAAUUAUUUAAAAACCUAUUUUAUUUAACUAAAAAUACAAAAUUAACACUAUUUUAACAAAACUCUAAAAUUAAAGAAAAAAAUGCUAAACUAACCUAAUUCUAGAGAAUAAGAAGCUAAAAUACACUAAAAUAAACUUCUAAGACAAGAAAAAGGGAUAAAUUUAGAGAGUUAACAAGGAGAAAAGAAGGACUUUGAAAAAAUUAGAUGCGUUCAAAAGAAGACAAGCGCAAAAGAUUAAAAGAGCAUAAGAGAAAGAAACACUUAUUGAAAUUGAAGAAAGAGAAAGAAACACUUAUUGAAAUUGAAGAAAGAGAAACUAGAGGAAAAUAAGAGAAAGAAAAGAGAGGGCAAAUAAAGAGAAAAGAGAGAAAACAAAUAGAAAGAAAAGAGAGAAAAAAAGAGAAAGAAAAGAAAGAAAAGAAAGAAAAAAAAGAAAAAAAAGAGAAAGAAAAGAGAGAGAGAGAAAAAAAAAGAAAGAGAUGGGAAAGAAAAUAGAGAAAAAAAAGGAGAAAGAAAAGAAAGAGAGAAUGAUAGAGUAUCCUGAUUUGUCAUUAAAAGAAAAUAUUAAUUGCCCUCUAUUUGUUAGGCUUCCUAGGAAAUAUUUCUUUAUCAAGGAACCAUAACAUCAAGCAUGGAAGGAAGAAAAUAUUACAAAAAAGGAAGACAGAAGCCUGGAACUCAAAGAACC
RNAcentral lists this long non-coding RNA (1899 nucleotides) under Vigna radiata. Its description in RNAcentral is "long non-coding RNA (VRAD_LNC006871)". The record is from RNAcentral. Lineage: Eukaryota; Viridiplantae; Streptophyta; Magnoliopsida; Fabales; Fabaceae.